This 731-nucleotide long non-coding RNA is filed under the name Ictidomys tridecemlineatus (thirteen-lined ground squirrel). RNAcentral's name for it is "lncRNA (ENSSTOG00000030746.1)". The record is from RNAcentral. Lineage: Eukaryota; Metazoa; Chordata; Mammalia; Rodentia; Sciuridae.
AGCCGAAUGACGUGUACUUCUGUCCUCAUUAAAGCCUCCUUUGAAUUACAGGUCAACUGAUUAUGGGACAACCUAUGAGAAGCUGAAUGAUAAAGUGGGUUUGAAGACAAUCUUGAGCUACCUUUAUGUGUGUCCUACCAACAAGCGUAAGAUUAUGUUACUCACAGACCCGGAGAUUGAGAGCAGUUUAUUGAUCAGCUCAGAUGAAGGGGCAACGUAUCAAAAGUACCGGCUGAACUUUUACAUCCAGAGCUUGCUUUUCCACCCAAAGCAAGAAGACUGGAUUCUGGCAUACAGUCAAGACCAAAAGUUAUACAGCUCUGCCGAGUUUGGGAGAAGAUGGCAGCUUAUCCAAGAAGGGGUGGUACCAAAUCGGUUCUACUGGUCUGUGAUGGGGUCGAACAAGGAACCAGACCUGGUGCAUCUCGAGGCCAGAACUGUGGAUGGUCAUUCACAAUACCUUACUUGCCGAAUGCAGAACUGCACAGAAACCAACAGAAAUAAACCUUUCCCAGGCUACAUUGACCCAGACUCUUUGAUUGUCCAGGAUGAUUAUGUGUUUGUUCAGCUGACGUCAGGAGGAAGACCACAUUACUACGUGUCCUACCGGAGGAAUGCUUUUGCCCAAAUGAAGCUUCCGAAAUACGCUUUGCCCAAGGUAUACCCUGAUUGGCUUUUUCCAUUUCACUACUUUCUCUGAUUCACAUUGUCCUGCCUCCACUCUGUUCUCG